UUGAACGCUGGCGGCAUGCUUUACACAUGCAAGUCGAACGGCAGCGGGGGCUUCGGCCUGCCGGCGAGUGGCGAACGGGUGAGUAAUGCAUCGGAACGUACCCAGUCGUGGGGGAUAACUACGCGAAAGCGUAGCUAAUACCGCAUACGAUCUACGGAUGAAAGCGGGGGAUCGCAAGACCUCGCGCGGACGGAGCGGCCGAUGGCAGAUUAGGUAGUUGGUGGGAUAAAAGCUUACCAAGCCGACGAUCUGUAGCUGGGCUGAGAGGACGACCAGCCACACUGGGACUGAGACACGGCCCAGACUCCUACGGGAGGCAGCAGUGGGGAAUUUUGGACAAUGGGCGAAAGCCUGAUCCAGCCAUGCCGCGUGCAGGAUGAAGGCCUUCGGGUUGUAAAGCUCUUUCAGACGGAAAGAAAUCGGGCGCGUGAAUAGCGUGCCUGGAUGACGGUACUGUCAGAAGAAGCACCGGCUAACUACGU
This 482-nucleotide ribosomal RNA is filed under the name uncultured bacterium. RNAcentral's name for it is "bacterial SSU rRNA". It matches the Rfam family "Bacterial small subunit ribosomal RNA", at positions 29 to 506 of the family's 1533-position model. The record is from RNAcentral.